UAUCUCCUUUCCGAUUUUAUGCUGUAAUUUUUUUGUAGGUGCCAUUAUUGUUCAUUUAAACUUCUACCAAAAAUUACUUUAUCAAUUUUUUCUAUCUACUUUGAAUGUUCCGAUUUCAGAAGAAUUCUUGUGAACUGUAUCAGUAGAAAGAUAAGAAAUUCCAUCUUGUAAUUUUGUACACAUAGCCAUCUCAAGUUGUUCAAGUUGUUGCGCAACUUUAGCCAGAUCUUAAGAUUUAACCUUAUAGUCCAAAACAGCUAAAAGCUCAUCCCUUCCAGCAUCUGGUUGUUCUUCUUCAAAAAUCUUGGAUUUACUAGAAGAAGAGCCAUCUUGGAAUUUUUCUCUAUCACGAUCUCUUUCAUUUUCUUGGGAUUUUCUCUAAUGGGGUUUAAUCUUUUUCCUUCUUUUUUUUUUCCGGAUUAUUAGGUGUGUGUGACAAGUGCUGGAUUUUGACAAGGAAUUGGUUUACUAGAAAGCUGGAUGAUGAAUGGAGGAGUUUGAAGAAGGAAAAAGUCUGAUUUUUUUGCUUGGUUUUUGCAUCAACUUUCAGAUUUUUGGGGACUACUUUGUUUCUUUUUGAUUUGAAUAUUUAUUUUCUUUUUGAGAGUUGUGAGACAGAGAAGAGAGUGUAAGAGGAAGUGCUCGUGAAGAGGGCCCAACCACUUUAUCUCAUUUACUCUUUAAGUCAGUUUCAUCUUCUUUGCUCACACUCACUUUCAUCUCCUUCACUCUUUUGGCUCACUGUCUGUUGUGAUAGUUGUGUGUUCGUGCGUUUUAAUAGCAAAAAUCACCGUGUGGUCAUCCCAUCAUACUUUAACUCUUUUUAACUAAAAGGCCUUUGGAAAAUCACAUGCUGACAAACAGGCUAGGCGACGCGAAUUAUAUAGACUGAUGCCACCUGAUAAAAAAGAGGCCCUUUUGGCAUGACGGCGUGCAAACAGAGCUGAACUGAAAAGACGACGGUCUACUGAAUCUUCAAUUAGUGUUGAUGCAGCUAACGCAUCAUCCUCUAACGCAACCAAUGUUUCUACCAACCAAAGUUCUCUUAUUAUAAAUGACCCAUUGCCUUUUUCAAGGAAAAGAACAGGGAACGUUUUCACAAAAUCUGGUGGUUCGAGUAGUAUGCAAGCAGAAAAUACUUACGUUAAAUUAAAAGAAAUACCAAAAUGCCAAUUUUGUGGAGCAAAAAAAUUUGAAUAUGAACCGCCUGCAUUCUGUUGUGAUUAAGUCCACUAUGGGUGAAAGGUUAACUAUCAACAUGAUCACUCCCAAAACAAAAGAAUGGACCUGUAAGAUCCAAGUAAUUGAUAAAGGUCGUCCCAAAGACAACAAAGAGAAAACCAAAAAAUAUCAACUCAUGACUUUACAGGAUGAAGAGGAAAAUCAAAUUCAGGCCAUCAUGUUCAAUGCUGAUAUAACGCAUUUUGAAGAUCUAUUUGAACCUUUCCACACUCCCUUGGUGUCAGUUGCACAGGUGAAGGAGUCAUCUUAUUUAUAUGGAAAUCCACUUAACAAAUUCACUUGAACAAUCGAUAAAAGAACCAUUGUUGAGCCAAUUGAAAAGGUCACUCCUCCUGAGGAUCCAUUACCUCCGCCAACGCGGCUAACUAUCACUGCGUUUGACACUUUCGAGUAUCAACCUAAAGAAUCUGAAUUUGGUAUUCAAAGAUUUAAUUAUCUAUAUUUGUGCAUAUACAAACCAUUUAUUGUACCUUCUCAAAAAUCUUUUCAUUGUUAUGGCACAAUGAUUUUCAUAAUUUGUUAACUUACUUGUUGUUUCUUUUUUUGGUUUAACGUAAGAUGUCCUUGCUAUUGUGAUUAAUGGCGGUCCUUCAACAUAUGCUGCAAAUGGAAGAAGAAUUCAAGAAUUUAUCAUUAUGGAUAAGCAG
This is a non-coding RNA of Nicotiana tabacum (common tobacco), 1889 nucleotides long. NCBI's taxonomy places the organism in Eukaryota, Viridiplantae, Streptophyta, Magnoliopsida, Solanales, Solanaceae. The record is from RefSeq and is a predicted model, not a curated record.